GACGAACGCUGGCGGCGUGCCUAAUACAUGCAAGUAGAACGCACAGUUUAUACCGUAGCUUGCUACACCAUAGACUGUGAGUUGCGAACGGGUGAGUAACGCGUAGGUAACCUGCCUGGUAGCGGGGGAUAACUAUUGGAAACGAUAGCUAAUACCGCAUAAUAUUAAUUAUUGCAUGAUAAUUAAUUGAAAGGUGCAAUUGCACCACUACCAGAUGGACCUGCGUUGUAUUAGCUAGUAGGUGAGGUAACGGCUCACCUAGGCGACGAUACAUAGCCGACCUGAGAGGGGGAUCGGCCACACUGGGACUGAGACACGGCCCAGACUCCUACGGGAGGCAGCAGUAGGGAAUCUUCGGCAAUGGACGAAAGUCUGACCGAGCAACGCCGCGGGAGUGAAGAAGGGUUUCGGAUCGUAAAGCUCUGUUGUAAGAGAAGAACGGGUGUGAGAGUGGAAAGUUCACACUGUGACGGUAGCUUACCAGAAAGGGACGGCUAACUACGUG
RNAcentral lists this ribosomal RNA (505 nucleotides) under uncultured bacterium. RNAcentral describes it as "partial 16S ribosomal RNA". It matches the Rfam family "Bacterial small subunit ribosomal RNA", at positions 28 to 507 of the family's 1533-position model. The record is from RNAcentral.